UGAAUAUUCGCUAUGUGGGAAGCCUGAACAGCAACGCCCGCGUGCGCGAGAAGGCCUUCGGGUUGUAAAGCGCUUUGAAGAGAUGAGGAAGGACAGUAUCCUCUGAAUAAGCCUCGGCUAACUACGUGCCAGCAGCCGCGGUAACACGUAGGAGCCAGCGUUAUCCGAAUUACUGGGCGUAAAGCGCGUGUAGGCGGUCUUAAGUUGGAUGUGAAAGCUCCUGGCUAACUGGAGAGGUCGUUCAAUACUGAGACUGAGGGAGAGGAGGUGGAAUUCCGGUGUAGUGGUGAAAUGCGUAGAUAUCGGAGGACACCGGGCGAAGCGGCCUCUGGCCUCUGACGCUCAGACGCGAAAGCUAGGAGCAACGGGAUUAGAACCCCGGUAGUCUUAGCGUAAACGAUGUAGACUUGGCGUGGUGGUUAAAUCCAUCAGUGCCGAAGCCAACGCGAUAAGUUACCGCCUGGGGACUACGGCCGCAAGGUUAAAACUCAAAGGAAUUGACGGGGCCCCGCACAAGCAGCGGGCGUGUGGUUUAAUUCGAUGCUACACGAAGAACCUUACCUGGGUUUGACAUGAAGUGGUAGGAACUGAAAGGGACCGACCCUUCGGGGAGCUAUGAG
RNAcentral lists this ribosomal RNA (620 nucleotides) under uncultured bacterium. Its description in RNAcentral is "bacterial SSU rRNA". It matches the Rfam family "Bacterial small subunit ribosomal RNA", at positions 358 to 1038 of the family's 1533-position model. The record is from RNAcentral.